Molecule: ribosomal RNA, 870 nt
Filed under: uncultured bacterium
Lineage: Bacteria
Description: bacterial SSU rRNA
Rfam family: Bacterial small subunit ribosomal RNA
Source: RNAcentral
GGCGGUCNGGAAAGUCUGGAGUAAAAGGCUAUGGCUCAACCAUAGUGUGCUCUGGAAACUGUNUGACUUGAGUGCAGAAGGGGAGAGUGGAAUUCCAUGUGUAGCGGUGAAAUGCGUAGAUAUAUGGCGGAACACCAGUGGCGAAAGCGGCUCUCUGGUCUGUCACUGACGCUGAGGCUCGAAAGCGUGGGUAGCGAACAGGAUUAGAUACCCUGGUAGUCCACGCCGUAAACGAUGAGUGCUAGGUGUUAGGCCCUUUCCGGGGCUUAGUGCCGGAGCUAACGCAAUAAGCACUCCGCCUGGGGAGUACGACCGCAAGGUUGAAACUCAAAGGAAUUGACGGGGGCCCGCACAAGCGGUGGAGCAUGUGGUUUAAUUCGAAGCAACGCGAAGAACCUUACCAGGUCUUGACAUCCCGAUGCUAUUCUUAGAGAUAGGAAGUUACUUCGGUACAUCGGAGACAGGUGGUGCAUGGUUGUCGUCAGCUCGUGUCGUGGGAUGUUGGGUUAAGUCCCGCAACGAGCGCAACCCUUAUUGUUAGUUGCCAUCAUUAAGUUGGGCACUCUAGCGAGACUGCCGGUAAUAAACCGGAGGAAGGUGGGGAUGACGUCAAAUCAUCAUGCCCCUUAUGACCUGGGCUACACACGUGCUACAAUGGUCGGUACAACGAGUUGCGAGCCGGUGACGGCAAGCUAAUCUCUGAAAGCCGAUCUCAGUUCGGAUUGGAGGCUGCAACUCGCCUCCAUGAAGUCGGAAUCGCUAGUAAUCGCGGAUCAGCACGCCGCGGUGAAUACGUUCCCGGGCCUUGUACACACCGCCCGUCACACCACGAGAGUUUGUAACACCCGAAGUCGGUGAGGUAACCUUCUA